This 414-nucleotide ribosomal RNA is filed under the name Metabacillus litoralis. Its description in RNAcentral is "bacterial SSU rRNA". It matches the Rfam family "Bacterial small subunit ribosomal RNA", at positions 732 to 1144 of the family's 1533-position model. The record is from RNAcentral. Lineage: Bacteria; Bacillati; Bacillota; Bacilli; Caryophanales; Bacillaceae.
GUCUGUAGUCAACACUGAGGCGCGAAAGCGUGGGGAGCGAACAGGAUUAGAUACCCUGGUAGUCCACGCCGUAAACGAUGAGUGCUAAGUGUUAGAGGGUUUCCGCCCUAAAGUGCUGCAGCUAACGCAUUAAGCACUCCGCCUGGGGAGUACGGUCGCAAGACUGAAACUCAAAGGAAUUGACUUGGGCCCGCACAAGCGGUGGAGCAUGUGGUUUAAUUCGAAGCAACGCGAAGAACCUUACCAGGUCUUGACAUCCCACUGACCGGUAUAGAGAUAUACCUUUCCCAACGGGGACAGUGGUGACAGGUGGUGCAUGGUUGUCGUCAGCUCGUGUCGUGAGAUGUUGGGUUAAGUCCCGCAACGAGCGCAACCCUUCUAGUUAGUUGCCAGCAUUUAGUUGGGCACUAUAAG